GCGCCCGUAGCUCAGUUGGAUAGAGCACCCGCCUUCUAAGCGGACGGUCCCUGGUUCGAAUCCAGGCGGGCGUGCCA
RNAcentral lists this transfer RNA (77 nucleotides) under Planctomycetota bacterium. Its description in RNAcentral is "tRNA-Arg". It matches the Rfam family "tRNA". From Rfam's summary of the family: Transfer RNA (tRNA) molecules are approximately 80 nucleotides in length. Their secondary structure includes four short double-helical elements and three loops (D, anti-codon, and T loops). Lineage: Bacteria; Pseudomonadati; Planctomycetota. The record is from RNAcentral.